CACUUUCCACUACCAGAGCCCAAAUUUGCUGGGAUAUUUUACAAAUAUUUAUUUUUUUUCCAUGCUUUAUAUGCUCUUUUUGGUGUCAGAAGUACCUGGGCCAAGCAGAGAAUUUCUUGACAAAAGAGUUUUGUUGUUUUUUUUUUUUUUUUUUUUUUCUUUUUCUUUCCUUUCCUUUUCUCUCUUUCCCUCCCUUUCCUUCCUCGCAGCCGGGACUGGAGUCUCCUCAGCGAAACUCCUGUGCUUUCGCGGCCGCAGCAGCACGUCUUACUGGCUAAUGAAAGCCAAAACCUGACUGUACUGCAGGAAGAUUCAUACACACUGCAGCCAUAUGGCAAUGCAUUGUCUCCUUCCUGAUCUUGGAUUACAGUCCAUACUGAAAAAAAAAUAAAGUGAUUAAGAGCAAAAGUUCAAGUGGGUUUAUUUGUAGAAGCUGGUUGUGGCCUUCCCACAAUGAAGCAGCUUUUACCCUAAAAGUCACGCUAAGUACUAGUUAGUAAAUUAUCAAUUUUCCCUUGCAAACGCUGUAUUAUGUACGAGAAUAAAAUAUUGCCUUUCAAACCGUAGUGGAUGUUAUCACUUCAAAUGUGCUUAUAUGCAUUUCCUGUGCUUAGAUCCAGCCCAGCAAUAACAAUACCACAAUUACCAGAAUGUAUAAUCCAUAGUGUGGCCCUGUGUAAAUCAAGCCCCCGCUGAGCAUGUCGCACACAUCCUGCAGGAUACCACUGCCAUCCUCGAUUGCUUCCGGUGAGCGCCCUGCGUCUGCAGGAGGAUUGCAGAGCCCUGCUCACCCUGACUCCUAACUCACAACUCAGAGCUACCUCCUCCCAGCAAGAUUUAGGCACACAGCUGAAGCAGGUUUUGUUCGUGAUAGCCUAAAUGGGAAACUAGAAAACCAGGCUUAAGGAAAAAACAGUUUUGAUCUUUUAAAAAUACUUAAGGACAAAAUUGUUGCAAAUACUGCAAGGGAGAGUGUUCAGCAUUUCAAUUCAAUUGUUAAAUUACUAAAAUAAUGCGUACCUGGGGUUUUCACACCGUGGAGACUUAGAUGUAUGAUCUGAUACUCUGUCAUUCAUUCCCUUCAGAACACAGCAUCAUUUUUUCUCUGUGCAAAAUAUCUGAGAAGUAAACAUUUUUGAAAGAAUUUUGCAAAGUCAAAGAACAAGCAAAAUCUGAACUAAACCAGAAAUAUAUUAUUUUAAUUGCAAGACACAUUGCAGCCAUACACUCAGAACAAUCUUACAGGAAUAUUCUGACAAUGUCAGUGUCAUGAUUCAGUUAGUUCAAGCCAACUCAACAGACUGACUCAGAAAUUAAAUCUACUUGACCUGUUCAUGACUUCAUAUUUUUAGUCAGUUCUCAGAUUAGACACUGACUUUUUCAAACAGAUGUUGAAAUGAGUACAAAGUUUUGAAAAACUGUAAACCACUUUAAACUAUAAUUUAUACAUAUGAUCCUUAAAAAAAAAAAAACCCCCCCCCCCCCCCCCCCCCCCCCCCCCCCCCCCCCCCCCCCCCCCCCCCCCCCCCCCCCCCCCCCCCCCCCCCCCCCCCC
This is a long non-coding RNA of Ficedula albicollis (Collared flycatcher), 1554 nucleotides long. The record is from Ensembl. Lineage: Eukaryota; Metazoa; Chordata; Aves; Passeriformes; Muscicapidae.